UACGUAGGGGGCAAGCGUUAUCCGGAUUCACUGGGUGUAAAGGGAGCGUAGACGGCCAUGCAAGCCUGGAGUGAAAGCCCGGGGCCCAACCCCGGGACUGCUCUGGGAACUGUGCGGCUGGAGUGCGGGAGGGGCAGGCGGAAUUCCUGGUGUAGCGGUGAAAUGCGUAGAUAUCAGGAGGAACACCAGCGGCGAAGGCGGCCUGCUGGACCGCGACUGACGUUGAGGCUCGAAAGCGUGGGGAGCAAACAGG
RNAcentral lists this ribosomal RNA (253 nucleotides) under uncultured bacterium. RNAcentral describes it as "partial 16S ribosomal RNA". It matches the Rfam family "Bacterial small subunit ribosomal RNA", at positions 524 to 776 of the family's 1533-position model. The record is from RNAcentral.